GACGAACGCUGGCGGCGUGCUUAACACAUGCAAGUCGAACGGUAAGGCCCUUUCGGGGGUACACGAGUGGCGAACGGGUGAGUAACACGUGGGUGAUCUGCCCUGCACUUUGGGAUAAGCCUGGGAAACUGGGUCUAAUACCGGAUAGGACUACGCGAUGCAUGUCGUGUGGUGGAAAGCUUUUGCGGUGUGGGAUGGGCCCGCGGCCUAUCAGCUUGUUGGUGGGGUGAUGGCCUACCAAGGCGACGACGGGUAGCCGGCCUGAGAGGGUGUCCGGCCACACUGGGACUGAGAUACGGCCCAGACUCCUACGGGAGGCAGCAGUGGGGAAUAUUGCACAAUGGGCGCAAGCCUGAUGCAGCGACGCCGCGUGGGGGAUGACGGCCUUCGGGUUGUAAACCCCUUUCAGCACAGACGAAGCGUAAGUGACGGUAUGUGCAGAAGAAGCACCGGCCAACUACG
Molecule: ribosomal RNA, 462 nt
Filed under: uncultured bacterium
Lineage: Bacteria
Description: partial 16S ribosomal RNA
Rfam family: Bacterial small subunit ribosomal RNA
Source: RNAcentral